AUUGAACGCUGGCGGCAGGCCUAACACAUGCAAGUCGAACGGUAACAGGAAGCAGCUUGCUGCUUUGCUGAUGAGUGGCGGACGGGUGAGUAAUGUCUGGGAAACUGCCUGAUGGAGGGGGAUAACUACUGGAAACGGUAGCUAAUACCGCAUAACGUCGCAAGACCAAAGAGGGGGACCUUCGGGCCUCUUGCCAUCGGAUGUGCCCAGAUGGGAUUAGCUAGUAGGUGGGGUAACGGCUCACCUAGGCGACGAUCCCUAGCUGGUCUGAGAGGAUGACCAGCCACACUGGAACUGAGACACGGUCCAGACUCCUACGGGAGGCAGCAGUGGGGAAUAUUGCACAAUGGGCGCAAGCCUGAUGCAGCCAUGCCGCGUGUAUGAAGAAGGCCUUCGGGUUGUAAAGUACUUUCAGCGGGGAGGAAGGGAGUAAAGUUAAUACCUUUGCUCAUUGACGUUACCCGCAGAAGAAGCACCGGCUAACUCCGUG
RNAcentral lists this ribosomal RNA (490 nucleotides) under uncultured bacterium. RNAcentral's name for it is "partial 16S ribosomal RNA". It matches the Rfam family "Bacterial small subunit ribosomal RNA", at positions 30 to 507 of the family's 1533-position model. The record is from RNAcentral.